CCCAGACUCCUACGGGAGGCAGCAGUGAGGAAUAUUGGUCAAUGGGCUAAGGCCUGAACCAGCCAAGUCGCGUGAGGGAAGACGGUCCUAUGGAUUGUAAACCUCUUUUGUCGGGGAGCAACGAGGCCACGUGUGGCCGAAGUGAGAGUACCCGAAGAAAAAGCAUCGGCUAACUCCGUGCCAGCAGCCGCGGUAAUACGUAGGUGGCGAGCGUUAUCCGGAAUUACUGGGUGUAAAGGGAGCGUAGGCGGGGGAACAAGUUGAAUGUUUAAGAUAUGGGCUCAACUCAUAUAAGCGUUCAAAACUGUUUUUCUUGAGUGAAGUAGAGGUAAGCGGAAUUCCUAGUGUAGCGGUGGGAUGCGUAAAUAUUAGGAGGAACACCAGUGGCGAAGGCGGCUUACUGGGCUUUAACUGACGCUGAGGCUCGAAAGCGUGGGUAGCAAACAGGAUUAGAUACCCGUGUA
RNAcentral lists this ribosomal RNA (464 nucleotides) under uncultured bacterium. Its description in RNAcentral is "bacterial SSU rRNA". It matches the Rfam family "Bacterial small subunit ribosomal RNA", at positions 330 to 792 of the family's 1533-position model. The record is from RNAcentral.